Molecule: ribosomal RNA, 468 nt
Filed under: uncultured bacterium
Lineage: Bacteria
Description: partial 16S ribosomal RNA
Rfam family: Bacterial small subunit ribosomal RNA
Source: RNAcentral
GACGAACGCUGGCGGCGUGCUUAACACAUGCAAGUCGAACGGAAAGGCCCUGCUUUUGUGGGGUGCUCGAGUGGCGAACGGGUGAGUAACACGUGAGUAACCUGCCCUUGACUUUGGGAUAACUUCAGGAAACUGGGGCUAAUACCGGAUAGGAGCUCCUGCUGCAUGGUGGGGGUUGGAAAGUUUCGGCGGUUGGGGAUGGACUCGCGGCUUAUCAGCUUGUUGGUGGGGUAGUGGCUUACCAAGGCUUUGACGGGUAGCCGGCCUGAGAGGGUGACCGGCCACAUUGGGACUGAGAUACGGCCCAGACUCCUACGGGAGGCAGCAGUGGGGGAUAUAGCACAAUGGGCGGAAGCCUGAUGCAGCAACGCCGCGUGCGGGAUGACGGCCUUCGGGUUGUAAACCGCUUUCGCCUGUGACGAAGCGUGAGUGACGGUAAUGGGUAAAGAAGCACCGGCUAACUACGUG